Solanum lycopersicum (tomato) is the source of this 747-nucleotide long non-coding RNA. RefSeq lists it as uncharacterized. NCBI's taxonomy places the organism in Eukaryota, Viridiplantae, Streptophyta, Magnoliopsida, Solanales, Solanaceae. The record is from RefSeq and is a predicted model, not a curated record.
ACCUAAAUAAAAUUUAAAACUAAAAUCUCUGAGAAAAAUAUCUCAAAACAGAGAAACUCUUGUUACUCUCUUCUUCCUAAGAUGGCUUUCUCAUCUUUGCAGAUUUCUCUUCCAUUCAGCAGCUUCUCGUUGCUUUCGACAACAUUCUUGUCGCCUCUGUCUAGAAGCAACUUACACAUUUCUAGCAGCUCGCUCCUCUCGACAGCUUCGCCUUUUACUUUUCUAGGGUUUUACAUGUCUCUAUUUCCAUCUCAGUUGUUGCACCUUCAAUAUUGGAAGAAGAUUUUGUCAUCCAAGGUUGCACAAAAGCUGUUUAUAAUUGUCGAUUAACUGGACGGAACCAACGCCUAUUGCGAAUGAACAUUGCAGAAUCCAAUCUUUCUUCUAAAAUUCCAGAUAUAGAGCUCAAGAAUUCUUAAGAGGAAUAAUGAUUUUAACAACAAUUAUAGUAAGGAUGAGAUGAAGGUUGCAAUGCGGAUGUAUUAUGAGAUCAUGGAUGAGUGAUGAAGAGAAGAGUUUAUGACCUUGUGUCUCAAGGGAACACAUGUUAAGACCUUAGGUUAUACUUCUAAUCGUGAUGAAUUUCACUCUCAAGCACCAUACAAGUUAGCUUUGUUUGAUAUAACUCUACUUUGUUAGUUGAAAAAUGAUUAUGUACAUUGUUCAAGCUUUGGGAGAUAUGUAAUUUUUGUUCUACUUGUUAAUCUAAUGUUAUCAUUAUAUAAAAUUAGGUUCUUCUUAUGCUAA